Non-coding RNA from Heligmosomoides polygyrus, 70 nucleotides. NCBI's taxonomy places the organism in Eukaryota, Metazoa, Nematoda, Chromadorea, Rhabditida, Heligmosomidae. The record is from Rfam.
GCGCCGGUGGUGUAAGGCGAACAUCGCUGCCCGAAAGCAGAAGAUGCGGGUUCGAGUCCCGCCUGGCGCG